This 1996-nucleotide long non-coding RNA is filed under the name Homo sapiens (human). Its description in RNAcentral is "HSALNT0061670". Lineage: Eukaryota; Metazoa; Chordata; Mammalia; Primates; Hominidae. The record is from RNAcentral.
UGUUAAGAGUCAUUACUUUCUUGGGUAAACAAAUUAAUGGAUAAGUUACUCAGAGAAAGGUGAAAUAUGUAAAAGAAGACAUCUAGAGUAUGAGUAAAAAACACUCAAAAUUAGGAACAGUUAGUUAAUAAAACUUAUUUGGCACCUGAUGUAUGCCAAAAAUCAUUGCUGAAUUAGUAGGUAAAUGAAUAAAGCAAAUAGUAUUUUAUUAUUUUAUUUUAUUUUUUGAGAUGGAGUCUCGCUCUGUCACACAGGCUGGAGUGCAGUGGCGUGAUCUUGGCUCACAGCAACUUCCGCCUCCUGGGUUCAAGCAAUUCUCCUGCCUCAGCCUCCCAAGUAGCUGGGAUUACAGGCACACUCCACCAUGCCCGGCUAAUUUUUUGUAUUUUUAGUAGAGAUGGGGUUUCACCGUGUUAGCCACGAUGGUCUCGAUCUCCUGAUCUCGUGAUCCGCCCGCCUCGGCUUCCCAAAGUGCUGGGAUUACAGGCGUGAGCCACGGUGCCCGGCCGCUCUUUCAUUCUUUUACGAGUGACAGAAAGUUCUCUUCAGUGGAAACUCAAUCAUGCAGAACCACCAUGCUCUGAAAAAUCCAAAUAAACUGGAGAAAGAGCCAUAUGAGAAGAGCAAAGUCAUGCUGUCCAGUCUCAGCAGACCCCCAGGCUACAGCCAGCAACAAGUGCCAGCCAUGUCAUCCAGAUGUCUUGAAUGUUUCAGCCUCAAUCCUUCAAGUGAACACAGUUCCAGAAAACAGUACAUGAAGAAGAAAGACUAUGCAGCUGUUCUAAGUCAAUCUAAAAAUAAUACCAUAAAGUGACACUUCGGUUUUCAGCCACUAAGUUUUGAGUUAUUUGGUAUGCAGCAAAAACAGAUAAUAGAAAUACAUACAAUUUUCUAAAUAUUCUUCUAUUUUUCUCCAUAGAAUAUUUUUAUAGUCAUGUUAAAUAAUGCAGGGAGCAUGCAAUACUUAAGCAAUUGUUAAAUAAUACAAGUUUUAAUAUAAAUUAAGACAUGAAGUUGAAAAGAGUACAAGCAAGUUUCAAUCCCAAGCCAAGAACAUAAAAACUUCAUCAUGUCUUAUUUCAGGAGUCUAUUGUUACAUGGUAUGAAUAGAGCUAGGAAGAAAUUCAUGAACUAAAAUAUAUAAUCUUGGCAAAAUAUAACACUAAAAUACUAAAAACUAUCAACAAUAUCCUACGGACCGGGCAGAAUUGAACUAGUAAACCUCAAAUACCAGUUAAAAUGUGAACCUGUAGUAUUUAAAUUAUGUCGUUGGACUAUUUCUAAAAAGAUACUAAUAGCAAUCAUUUAUCAAGCAUUUAUAUGAAUUACUGCAGGAGCUCCAUGCACACUCCUUAAGAAAAAAUGAAGAUUUACCAAAUAUGCAAUAUUGUAUUGUACAGUGUAACCCUGUGCUAUUGUCUUCCUCUCUACUGAACGAUCUAAAAUUGUUAUGAUGUGUACACAUUUUACAUUUAUAACAUUCAUUGACAUUUAGUCUAAUUAAUUAUUAGUUCAGCAUGCAUAGUCUAUUUGUAUUAGUCAUGUCCAUAUUUGCAACUCAAAACACAGAAUUAACUUUUCGAAGGCUACGUAGGAGAUGGGAUUCUUUAUUUGGGGGAUGAGGGAAAAAUAUUCUAUAUUUAUCAUAUGCUUUGAAAUGUUUCCAAUGCCUUUAUUUGACUGAUAGAGAUUCUUGUGUGUGUGUGUGUAUUUAUAUCUGUGUGUGAUCAAAAUGUAUGGAGUCAUAAAAAAAAUCCACUACUUAGUUUCAAAUAUUUGAAUGAUCUUUGAAAUUCAUUUAGAAUAAGUUACAUAAUUAAAGCUGCCUUAAUUUUUUUAAACCAAAUAGCCCUUUAUAGAGUUUGCACUGAGAGCUUCUUUGCUUUUCUCUAUUCUUCCUGUAAUGUUCUUGUGAUUAAUUCAAAACCCAUAUGUACUCUCUCAAAUUGUUACAGGUAGUUAGAUAGGCAUGCGUGGGGCAGGAGAGGGCUUUUCC